RNAcentral lists this ribosomal RNA (776 nucleotides) under uncultured Neocallimastigales. Its description in RNAcentral is "partial large subunit ribosomal RNA". It matches the Rfam family "Eukaryotic large subunit ribosomal RNA", at positions 26 to 632 of the family's 3401-position model. Lineage: Eukaryota; Fungi; Neocallimastigomycota; Neocallimastigomycetes; Neocallimastigales. The record is from RNAcentral.
CGUCUAUAUACGUAUAGCAUAUCAAUAAGCGGAGGAAAAGAAACUAACUAGGAUUCCCUCAGUAACGGCGAGUGAAGCGGGAAGAGCUCAAAUUUGAAAUCUUCAAGGUUCUACCUUGACGAAUUGUAGUUUAAAGAAGUGUUUUCUGUUGAAGUUUUCGGUAAAAGUUCUUUGGAAUAGGACAUCAUAGAGGGUGAGAAUCCCGUAUUUGACCAGUUAUUUCCAACUUUGUGAUACACUUUCAAAGAGUCGGAUUGUUUGGGAAUGCAGUCCAAAAUGGGUGGUAAAUUUCAUCUAAAGCUAAAUACUGGCGAGAGACCGAUAGCGAACAAGUACCGUGAGGGAAAGAUGAAAAGAACUUUGAAAAGAGAGUUAAACAGUACGUGAAAUUGUCAAAAGGGAAGUGUUUGACACCAGUGUUGUUUUCUCGAAAAUCAAUUAAAAAUGGUGGGAUUUUGUGUUGUAUUGACUUUAUCAGCUUUCUGCACUUUUUUCCUAUCUUUUUUAAUGCACUUUUCGUUUAACAAGUCAACAUCAAUUUCUUUUGUUGUAAAAGAGUCAUUGGAAGGUGGCUUUCUUUUCGGAGAAAGUGUUUAUAGCCUUUGACUUCUGCAAUCGGAGAGAUUGAGGUCUGCAGCGUAGAUCCUUCGGGGUUAGAUGCAUUUGUGCUAAGCUAUAGCCUUUCAUAGACAACUUGUUGACUAUGAUCAGUCAUGUAGCUUACUCGCUUAUGCUAUUUUACCUACGCUUAGGAUGUUGAUCUGUAGUGCGUGCGC